GACGAACGCUGGCGGCGUGCUUAACACAUGCAAGUCGAACGGAAAGGCCCUGCUUUUGUGGGGUGCUCGAGUGGCGAACGGGUGAGUAACACGUGAGUAACCUGCCCUUGACUUUGGGAUAACUUCAGGAAACUGGGGCUAAUACCGGAUAGCAGCUCCUGCUGCAUGGUGGGGGUUGGAAAGUUUCGGCGGUUGGGGAUGGACUCGCGGCUUAUCAGCUUGUUGGUGGGGUAGUGGCUUACCAAGGCUUUGACGGGUAGCCGGCCUGAGAGGGUGACCGGCCACAUUGGGAGUGAGAGACGGCCCAGACUCGUACGGGAGGCAGCAGUGGGGAAUAUUGCACAAGGGGCGGAAGCCUGAUGCAGCAACGCCGCGUGCGGGAUGACGGCCUUAGGGUUGUAAACCGCUUUCGCCUGUGACGAAGCGUGAGUGACGGUAAUGGGUAAAGAAGCACCGGCUAACUACGUG
This 468-nucleotide ribosomal RNA is filed under the name uncultured bacterium. RNAcentral describes it as "partial 16S ribosomal RNA". It matches the Rfam family "Bacterial small subunit ribosomal RNA", at positions 28 to 507 of the family's 1533-position model. The record is from RNAcentral.